GUCUUUAUUUAUGAACUCAAUCUUAUGUUGAAAGAGUCUAUAAAAUUAUGCUUCUAAAAAGUUCACUCAUCCUUGUGGGAGGUGGGUGUAUUAUAAAAGCAAGAAAUAUUUGUGGUGUUUUUUGGUUUUCUUCCAUUCAUAAAAAUGGAUGUGCUUGCUUCUGGAAUCCUUACCUUUAAAUUCUGAUUUAUCUACUAGUUCUAAGGUGCUUUGCUUCUGAUUUCUUAUGCCUCUGUCCUAACAUAUUUCAACUGUAUUCAGUAUUUCCUUGAAAUAUAUGAAAGCAUAUACUUUCACUAACUAGUGGGAAUAUCUGUGGUCGAUGUAGUUAACCUAAUUCUGCAACCGGCUCAGGAAACAGUAUUAAGCACCUUUAAUGAUAGCAUUCCUCCCAGUAAAGGUCAUUCUUUUUGAAAUGUUAUAUAUCUUUUUUUCUUUUUCUUUGUUAAGAAAAUUCUGAGUGGCUUAUUUAAAUUAUUGAAGAAUGAUGAGAUCUUAGUAACAACAGGAGACCCUUCUGUACUAAAUUGGGAAACUGUGUGUAAGCAAAAAGAUGAAUAAGAUAGUCUGUUUAGAUAAACCCUGAUCUUUGCACAAGAUUUCAAGUAUUUUUAAGAGUUACAGUCCUGUUCUUUCACUUAAACCACAUCAGACAUUGAUAAUUAAGAACAGUACAUAUUCCCUUUGAGUCUCUUUCAGUCUUGAGUUGGUCUUAAAAUCACUCUCAAUAGUGCACUCACUACAGGAAGCCAUUAAUAUUUUGUAUUGGUGUUUGAGCUAAAAACCCAUUUGCUACCACUAAAUUAGUGGGCAAGAUUUAUUGUCUCUCCAUGCUCUAGCCUGUAGGGCACAUGUUAACAAACUUUUUUUUGUGAAGAGCCAGGUAAUAUUUUAAGCUUGUUUUUUUUUAAGACAGGGUCUCAAUAGGUUGCUUACAGUCUUGCUAAAUUGCUGAGGGUGGCUUCAAACCUUCCAUCCUUCUGCCUCAGCGUCCCAAGCCACAUAUUUUAAGCUUUGUUGACCAUACAAUCUUCUAGAGCCAGUCAGCUCUGCCCUUACAGUCUAAAGGCAGUCAUAGACAAUAUACAACAUAUGAUCAUAGCUAUGUUCCAACAAAACUUUAUUUACAAAAACAAGCAGCAAGGACUGGAAUAGGGGUAGUUUGGUGUUGAGUAC
This 1176-nucleotide long non-coding RNA is filed under the name Marmota monax (woodchuck). The record is from RNAcentral. Lineage: Eukaryota; Metazoa; Chordata; Mammalia; Rodentia; Sciuridae.